RNAcentral lists this ribosomal RNA (332 nucleotides) under uncultured Leptolinea sp. RNAcentral's name for it is "bacterial SSU rRNA". It matches the Rfam family "Bacterial small subunit ribosomal RNA", at positions 1037 to 1382 of the family's 1533-position model. The record is from RNAcentral. Lineage: Bacteria; Bacillati; Chloroflexota; Anaerolineae; Anaerolineales; Anaerolineaceae.
GGUGCUGCAUGGCUGUCGUCAGCUCGUGUCGUGAGAUGUUCGGUUAAGUCCGCUAACGAGCGCAACCCUCGCUGUGUGUUAUAUGUGUCACACGGGGACUGCCGGUCUUAAGCCGGAGGAAGGUGGGGAUGAUGUCAAGUCAGCAUGGCCUUUAUAUCCUGGGCUACACACACGCUACAAUGGCCAACACAAUAGGUUGCUAAGCCGCGAGGUGGCGCCAAUCCAUAAAGUUGGUCUCAGUUCAGAUUGUAGGCUGCAACCCGCCUGCAUGAAGAUGGAGUUGCUAGUAACCGCAGGUCAGCUAUACUGCGGUGAAUACGUUCCCGGGGCUU